Molecule: ribosomal RNA, 394 nt
Filed under: uncultured bacterium
Lineage: Bacteria
Description: bacterial SSU rRNA
Rfam family: Bacterial small subunit ribosomal RNA
Source: RNAcentral
GACGAACGCUGGCGGCGUGCUUGACACAUGCAAGUCGAGCGGUAAGGCCCUUUCGGGGGUACACGAGCGGCGAACGGGUGAGUAACACGUGGGUGACCUGCCCUCAGCUCUGGGAUAAGCCUGGGAAACCGGGUCUAAUACUGGAUAUGACUCCAUGACGCAUGUUGUGGGGUGGAAAGCCUUGUGCGGCUGAGGAUGGGCCCGCGGCCUAUCGGCUUGUUGGUGGGGUGAUGGCCUACCAAGGCGACGACGGGUAGCCGGCCUGAGAGGGCGACCGGCCACACUGGGACUGAGACACGGCCCAGACUCCUACGGGAGGCAGCAGUGGGGAAUCUUGCGCAAUGGGCGAAAGCCUGACGCAGCGACGCCGCGUGAGGGAUGACGGCCUCGGUGU